UGCCCGCAAGGAAAUGUAGUGAGAGGUGCUACAUGGCUGUCGUCAGCUCGUGUUGUGAAAUGUUGGGUUAAGUCUCGCAACGAGCGCAACCCCUAUCGUCUGUUGCCAGCAUUAAGUUGGGCACUCUGACGAGACUGCCUGGGUUAACCAAGAGGAAGGUGGGGAUGACGUCAAGUCCUCAUGGCCCUUAUGUCUAGGGCUACACACGUAAUACAAUGGCGCGUACAAAGGGAAGCGAACCUGCAAAGGGGAGCAAAUCCCAAAAAGCGCGUCUCAGUUCGGAUCGGAGUCUGCAACUCGACUCCAUGAAGUUGGAAUCGCUAGUAAUCGGAGAUCAGCACGCUCC
RNAcentral lists this ribosomal RNA (346 nucleotides) under uncultured Peredibacter sp. Its description in RNAcentral is "bacterial SSU rRNA". It matches the Rfam family "Bacterial small subunit ribosomal RNA", at positions 1014 to 1360 of the family's 1533-position model. Lineage: Bacteria; Pseudomonadati; Bdellovibrionota; Bacteriovoracia; Bacteriovoracales; Bacteriovoracaceae. The record is from RNAcentral.